CACUGUCAGGAUCACAACUGGAGAGUUUCCAGUACUCUACCAGUCUCGGCUAUGGGAAGGACAGUCAAGCAGAGGUAUACCCAUUCCAUUCCUAGCUUGGGCAGUGGCUAGCAAAUGGAAGACAACCUGCUACAAGU
Molecule: non-coding RNA, 137 nt
Organism: Ornithorhynchus anatinus (platypus)
Lineage: Eukaryota; Metazoa; Chordata; Mammalia; Monotremata; Ornithorhynchidae
Source: Rfam